GAAAAACCUUACCUACCCUUGACAUGUCACUAACGAAGUAGAGAUACAUUAGGUGCUCGUAAGAGAAAGUGAACACAGGUGCUGCAUGGCUGUCGUCAGCUCGUGUCGUGAGAUGUUGGGUUAAGUCCCGCAACGAGCGCAACCCUUGUCUUUAGUUGCUACGCAAGAGCACUCUAAAGAGACUGCCGGUGACAAACCGGAGGAAGGUGGGGAUGACGUCAAGUCCUCAUGGCCCUUAUGGGUAGGGCUUCACACGUCAUACAAUGGUGCAUACAGAGGGUUGCCAACCCGCGAGGGGGAGCUAAUCUCAGAAAAUGCAUCGUAGUCCGGAUCGUAGUCUGCAACUCGACUACGUGAAGCUGGAAUCGCUAGUAAUCGCGGAUCAGAAUGUCGCGGUGAAUACGUUCCCGGGUCUUGUACACACCGCCCGUCAUACCAUGGGAGUGGGUUUUGCCAGAAGCCGUUAGCCUAACCGCAAGGGGG
RNAcentral lists this ribosomal RNA (483 nucleotides) under uncultured beta proteobacterium. RNAcentral's name for it is "bacterial SSU rRNA". It matches the Rfam family "Bacterial small subunit ribosomal RNA", at positions 963 to 1449 of the family's 1533-position model. The record is from RNAcentral. Lineage: Bacteria; Pseudomonadati; Pseudomonadota; Betaproteobacteria.